GGACCCAUAGCUCAGCCAGGAUAGAGUGUCGGCCUGCGAAGCCGAUGGUCCCGGGUUCGAAUCCCGGUGGGUCCG
Molecule: transfer RNA, 75 nt
Filed under: Acidianus brierleyi
Lineage: Archaea; Thermoproteati; Thermoproteota; Thermoprotei; Sulfolobales; Sulfolobaceae
Rfam family: tRNA
About the family: Transfer RNA (tRNA) molecules are approximately 80 nucleotides in length. Their secondary structure includes four short double-helical elements and three loops (D, anti-codon, and T loops).
Source: Rfam by way of RNAcentral